UUAGAGCGUGCUGGUCAGCGGGGAGCCCGCCCUCAACGCCGCAGAGCUAAGGGAAGCUUCAGGGCCAGAAAACUGGUGGAUAUUUUCUCCUGAUGGAAAAGCCGCAGGGCAUCUGUUAACAACCUGCUAUUACUCCUAUAGGACUCUGCAAAGUGGAGUUGGACGCAAACAAAUUCAGGGGAAAGUGAUUGAUGAAGGGAUGAAACUCAAGCAACGAGCCCAUCAGGGCUCCUUUGAAAAUGAGAUUCUUAAUCUCAACAGGACUUCCCUGGUUAAAAAAAGUUGUCCUGUCACCUGUACAGAAAAGCAGCACCUCCCGUGCGUCACAGUAGUCAUGGUGUUCUCAUCAUUCUUCCUUCUCCAAACACGAUCUCUCAUCUUUUAAAGAGGAACAACUUGCAGAAAUUGUCAAGGACCAAGAGACAAGAGGAAUCAGGAGUCAGAUACAACUAAACGUAUCAAAAACCUUGGGAGAGCCAAACCUCAGACGCCAUUCCAGAGGAGUCUCAUCCUUGAGAGAAAUCUGGGUCAACCCUGACUCUGCAUUUUUUUUUUCUAAAGAUCAUUACAAAGCGUGUUCUUAUCGGUGGAUGAAUUGAUAAAGGUCUUAUAAUCACCUUGUUACACAAUAAGUUCUUAAGGGGCUCUUUUUGGUUCAUUGUGAAAAAAAGAAUAUGUAUUUGUGUAAUAUUUCUUGGUUUUAUUUUUGGAUAAAACCAUAAUAUUGAAAUGAAAAGUCAAAGCCAAAGUCAUUUCACUUUGAGUUCAUUGUUUUGCUAAUGUUCCAGGGUUGGUCUGCCAGCCUCCUAUAAACCAUCAUGUUGACAGCUUCACUGGAGCCGCUUUGUGUUACAACAAGUGAUUUCCUUCCCAAUGUCACCACUGGUGAUUUCAACAGUCACACGCACCGAUAAUCCCAGAGACAAAGCUGUGUAAUCUGGGCCGUUUGCGAUGUUUGAUGUCACAGCAUGUCAACAUGUGAUCUGAUUAUGAACAAGGCUGUUAGUGCAUGUAAUAGUUUUAUCACUGUCAGAAGUGACAUGGUCCCUAAUUGCAGGGUGAUAAAAAAAAGUUUUGGUACAGAAAAAUGUAUAAUAUAUAAAACUUGACAAAAAAUAUUAUACUUUCCUGCAGCAGUCCUGGACCGUAAGGACCAGAUUUAUUCGAAUUUCCUACUAUGCCUUUGAGGAAAAGAAUCUCCCCAUCAAAUACAAAUUUGGAUCUACCUAAUCCACAGUGAUAAUACAUUUUUGACAUAGUGGACAAACCUCCCCCAAAUAGUGAUGACAUCACAGCAGGGGACAAAAAAAAGAUGGGGCCAAAAUCUUUUUUUUUUUUUUUUUAGAAUCCACUAAGAAAACCAAAACAUGUGUCAAGGUGUAUACACACUGGUUUCAAGCAACUACUCUCAAUGAAAAGUCUAUGCAAACCCGCAUAGACCAGAAUUCCAGAUCCGGAACUCUUGUGAUCGCAAGCCCCUACACAAGUCCAGUUGCUGGCUCUACGUCCAGAACAAGUGUUCAUUGAUCACCAGCUGGAAGUUCAACCAGGGACUCGUACAAGUGGGUAGCGUCCGCUACAAAAUACGGACGUACCAACUGUUGUAAACCCAAUCGCGAAGGAUAAAUGAAUAAUUGCGGUUUCUGUCUGGUCGGGUUAAUAUGACACCAAGACGGCCUUUUGAAGGCUGUGAAAACACAAACCUUGGAGCAAGAUUUGCACCUCUUUGUCUUUACGUUUCGAGCCUUGACCAAUUUUAGGUGGUGGAUAAGCGCUAGUGAACAAUAAAAAAAUAAAAGAAGAA
This is a long non-coding RNA of Oryzias melastigma (Indian medaka), 1804 nucleotides long. RefSeq lists it as uncharacterized. The transcript is spliced from 5 exons. The record is from RefSeq and is a predicted model, not a curated record. NCBI's taxonomy places the organism in Eukaryota, Metazoa, Chordata, Actinopteri, Beloniformes, Adrianichthyidae.